ACGACGUGACGUAGGUCUAAGUGGUCACCUCGCCGGCAAAAGGUCAAUGUACGGUUGGACCAUACCCUUUCCUUGAGCCCAUAGACAUACAUGUAGACUUAGUGGAGCGUGUAAAUCACAAUGAGAGACGGUAGCAUUGUUGGUCGCCGGCGAGCGGAGCCCAGCGAAACAGCUCGGACGAACUAACUACUUGAAUGGAGGAACAAGAACUCCGUCCAUGCUGGCUUUGGCACUGCUGUAUUUACUGCUGAUUUCACAGACGGCACUGGGAUGGUCUGACGUUCCUACUGACUGGAGCACACCCAAUGCUUUGUAUUCAUGGCUGAGGCCGUGAGGGGCAGCAAACCGUAUCGUCCUUACCAUCUGGGAUAUCAUGGACAUCAAAUCAAUAGCAUGACACUUACUCUAAGUAUUGAUGAUGAGAGUGACCGUCACUCAUUCCGUCUUGUUAUUCGACAACAGAAUCUUGCCGUGGAUCACGCCUAUCCACUUCAUGCUGCGCUCGACUGCACCGAGUUUUACACUCGGAGCACAGGGAGAUCCAUUGGAGAAGAGCCGCUCAGAACAAUGUGGUUCUUCAAGGGCAGUCGAUUGAUCUCAACCACUUCUCUCGGGCCCAAUUGCUCAGCUACACUCUCACUAGGGGAGGGAAACAGAAUACUUCAAAUCUCAGAUAUGCUAGCUUCCGACUAUCAGACCUACACUCAUGAGGUUGACGGUGUCUAUCGAUGUGAGAUGCGCAGGAGAACACAACUCAUCUACUCGGCUACCAUAGAAGUGCACUUUGAUAAGGACUGGAGACCGGAGAAUGCAGUGGCCGUGAUCCUUGCAUGCAGAACGCCAUCCCACACCCCCACACCAGGAUGCUGGAAGACCAGAACCUCACCACACCCAGGGCCACUUCAGACGGGGAAUGGGUAACAUGAGAAUUUGAAAGGCGUUGAAGGACCAGUUGUGCUGGGUUCCUUUGUGUUCCCUUUCAACAGUACGGUUCAAUCACUACCCCCCACUUUGUUAGCUAAUUAUUGAACCUUGAGUACUAGCCACUACUGCCACUAGAUGGGACUUCUCACAGACUGUCUCCGUGCACCCCUCUGCACAGAAGUAUCACUUGGAUCAUUGAACACCAGUCAUCAGCCAAAACCAUGGAAACACCAGCCACUGCAGAAAGCCUAAGUUAUGAUAUAAUUUUAAGUGCGCAAUGUCAAAGAUAAUUAUAACGUUUCAUUUUGGCCACA
This is a long non-coding RNA of Sycon ciliatum, 1238 nucleotides long. RefSeq lists it as uncharacterized. The record is from RefSeq and is a predicted model, not a curated record. The transcript is spliced from 3 exons. Lineage: Eukaryota; Metazoa; Porifera; Calcarea; Leucosolenida; Sycettidae.